AGAGUUUGAUCCUGGCUCAGAAUGAACGUUGGCGGCGUGGAUUAGGCAUGCAAGUCGAGCGAGAAGCUUAAAUUUGAUCUUUCGAGUGAAGAUUUGAGUGGACAGCGGCGAAAGGGAGAGUAACGAGUAGAUUACGUACCUGAGGGUUCAGGAUAGCGGGGGGAAACCGCCGGUAAUACUGAAUAAUGUUUCCGAACCAAAGAUUUAUCGCCCUCGGAGCGGUUUGCUUACUAUUAGUUUGUUGGUGGGGUAAAGGCCUACCAAGGCUAAGAUGGUUAGCGGGUGUGAGAGCAUGGCCCGUCUCACUGGGACUGAGACACUGCCCAGACACCUACGGGUGGCUGCAGUCGAGAAUCUUCCGCAAUGGACGAAAGUCUGACGGAGCGACGCCGCGUGCGGGAUGAAGGCCUUCGGGUUGUAAACCGCUGUCGUAGGGGAGGAAAUUUUGACCGAUCCUAGGAGGAAGCACAGGCUAAGUUCGUGCCAGCAGCCGCGGUAAUACGAACUGUGCGAACGUUAUUCGGAAUCACUGGGCUUAAAGGGUGCGUAGGCGGCUAUGAAGGUCAGGUGUGAAAUCCCACGGCUCAACCGUGGAACUGCGCCUGAAACCACGUAGCUUGAGGAAGUCAGAGGUAAGCGGAACUGAUGGUGGAGCGGUGAAAUGCGUUGAUAUCAUCAGGAACACCGGUGGCGAAAGCGGCUUACUGGGACUUUUCUGACGCUGAGGCACGAAAGCCAGGGGAGCGAACGGGAUUAGAUACCCCGGUAGUCCUGGCUGUAAACGAUCUGUACUAGUCUGUGGGGACUUCCACAUCCUCUCGGACGUAGCGAAAGUGUUAAGUACAGCGCCUGGGGAGUAUGGUCGCAAGGCUGAAACUUAAAGGAAUUGAUGG
This 893-nucleotide ribosomal RNA is filed under the name uncultured bacterium. RNAcentral describes it as "bacterial SSU rRNA". It matches the Rfam family "Bacterial small subunit ribosomal RNA", at positions 8 to 916 of the family's 1533-position model. The record is from RNAcentral.